This 873-nucleotide ribosomal RNA is filed under the name Parabathynellidae sp. (Browns Range) EM-2019. RNAcentral describes it as "SSU rRNA". It matches the Rfam family "Eukaryotic small subunit ribosomal RNA", at positions 66 to 921 of the family's 1831-position model. Lineage: Eukaryota; Metazoa; Arthropoda; Malacostraca; Bathynellacea; Parabathynellidae. The record is from RNAcentral.
CAGGCCGAACCAAGGCGAAACCGCGAAUGGCUCAUUAAAUCAGUUAUGGUUCAUUGGAUCUUACCUUGUCCUACUGGGAUAACUGUGGUAAUUCUAGAGCUAAUACGUGCUUCCAAGCCCCGACCGCAAGGGAAGGGCGUUUUUAUUAGAUCAAAACCAAUCGGGCUGCGGUCCGUCCUCACUGUGGUGACUCUGAAUAACUUUGAGCUGAGCGCACGGUCUUCGUACCGGCGCCGUGUCCUUCAAGUGUCUGCCUUAUCAGCUGUCGAUUGUAGGCUAUGCGCCUACAAUGGCUAUAACGGGUAACGGGGAAUCAGGGUUCGAUUCCGGAGAGGGAGCCUGAGAAACGGCUACCACAUCUAAGGAAGGCAGCAGGCACGCAAAUUACCCAUUCCCGGCACGGGGAGGUAGUGACGAAAAAUAACGAUGCGGGACUCUUCCGAGGCCUCGCAAUCGGAAUGAGUACACUUUAAAUCCUUUAACGAGGAUCUAUUGGAGGGCAAGUCUGGUGCCAGCAGCCGCGGUAAUUCCAGCUCCAAUAGCGUAUAUUAAAGUUGCUGCGGUUAAAAAGCUCGUAGUUGGAUCUCAGUUCCGGACCGACGGUUCACCGCCCGGUGCUUACUGUCGGCUUCCGAACAGCCACNANNNCGCCGGCUCGGUCGGGGNUGCUCUUCAUCGAGUGUCCCGGCGCGGCCGGCACGUUUACUUUGAAAAAAUUAGAGUGCUCAGCGCAGGCUGCUAUGCCCGAAUAAUCUGUGCAUGGAAUAAUGGAAUAGGACCUCGGUUCUAUUUUGUUGGUUUUCGGAACCCGAGGUAAUGAUUAAUAGGUACUGUCGGGGGCAUUCGUAUUGCGACGUUAGAGGUGAAAUUCUU